GGGAAUGUGACUGAAUGGUAGAGUGCUUGCCUUGCAUGCAUGAAGCCCUGGGUUCGAGUCCUCAGUACCA
RNAcentral lists this transfer RNA (70 nucleotides) under Dipodomys ordii (Ord's kangaroo rat). It matches the Rfam family "tRNA". Rfam says of the family: Transfer RNA (tRNA) molecules are approximately 80 nucleotides in length. Their secondary structure includes four short double-helical elements and three loops (D, anti-codon, and T loops). The record is from Rfam by way of RNAcentral. Lineage: Eukaryota; Metazoa; Chordata; Mammalia; Rodentia; Heteromyidae.